GAUGAAGAACGCAUCGAAAUGCGAUACGUAAUGUGAAUUGCAGAAUUCAGUGAAUCAUCGAAUCUUUGAACGCAUAUUGCGCUCUCUGGUAUUCCGGAGAGCAUGCUUGUUUGAGUAUCAGUAAACACCUCAACUCCCCUUUCUUUUUUGAAAUGGGAGCUGGACUUGAGUGAUCCCAACGCUUUUCUCACCGAAAAGUGGCGGGUUACUUGAAAUGCAGGUGCAGCUGGACUUUUCUCUGAGCUAAAAGCAUAUCUAUUUAGUCUGCCUAAAAACAGAUUAUUACCUUUGCUGCAGCUAACAUAAAGGAGAUUAGUUCUUGUGCUGACUGAUGCAGGAUUCACAGAGACAGCUUCGGCUGGCCUUUGUAAACUCGAUCUCAAAUCAAGUAAGACUACCCGCUGAACUUAAGCAUAUCAAUAAGCGGAGGA
Molecule: unclassified non-coding RNA, 431 nt
Filed under: soil metagenome
Description: partial contains 5.8S ribosomal RNA, internal transcribed spacer 2, and large subunit ribosomal RNA
Rfam family: 5.8S ribosomal RNA (bases 1-120)
Source: RNAcentral